AACGAACGCUGGCGGCAUGCCUAACACAUGCAAGUCGAACGAGACCUUCGGGUCUAGUGGCGCACGGGUGCGUAACGCGUGGGAACCUGCCCUUAGGUUCGGAAUAACUCCCCGAAAGGGGUGCUAAUACCGGAUAAUGUCUUCGGACCAAAGAUUUAUCGCCUUUGGAUGGGCCCGCGUUGGAUUAGCUAGUUGGGAGGGUAAAAGCCUACCAAGGCGACGAUCCAUAGCUGGUCUGAGAGGAUGAUCAGCCACACUGGGACUGAGACACGGCCCAGACUCCUACGGGAGGCAGCAGUGGGGAAUAUUGGACAAUGGGCGAAAGCCUGAUCCAGCAAUGCCGCGUGAGUGAUGAAGGCCGUAGGGUUGUAAAGCUCUUUUACCCGGGAUGAUAAUGACAGUACCGGGAGAAUAAGCUCCGGCUAACUCCGUG
RNAcentral lists this ribosomal RNA (433 nucleotides) under uncultured bacterium. RNAcentral's name for it is "partial 16S ribosomal RNA". It matches the Rfam family "Bacterial small subunit ribosomal RNA", at positions 29 to 507 of the family's 1533-position model. The record is from RNAcentral.